RNAcentral lists this long non-coding RNA (645 nucleotides) under Carica papaya (papaya). RNAcentral's name for it is "long non-coding RNA (CPAP_LNC012557)". Lineage: Eukaryota; Viridiplantae; Streptophyta; Magnoliopsida; Brassicales; Caricaceae. The record is from RNAcentral.
AUGCACACGGACCAUUCACAAAGAUAAUCAAUGCGAGCAUUAUCUGAGGGAUACCUUGCAUGUAUAAACAACAGGUUAUAUGGCUCUAAAUCUAACAAUCCUCAAAAGUUUCAGCAAUUAACCAAAAGACCUAUGAUUACAUAAUUCUCAUUCAAAACAAAUGAGAUUUAACAAAGAAGAAGAAGAAGAAAAGUUACCCCUGUCCGCUGACUUCUACAGUGGUACUCUCCAGAUUGUUCCCUUUCUUUGGCUUUUGCAAAAAUCCAUUCAAUCUCUCAACAUUUUCUCAUUUUGUCUCAAUCAAAUCUUGUCCUAUCGAUGCUUUUCUAAUCGCAAUUGCAUUUUAUAGGAAAACAAAUGAGAAGACAACCGUCGCUGCUUUUCUCUCGGUCUCUGGAGUCUGUGAACAGUGGAAAAGUAUUUCUUCGCUGGCUAUUCAAUAAGCACGCGGGAGGAGGAAAUAAAGCCAAAACGACGUCAUUUGGCGGUUUGGGGCCAGAUUUCCGUUGGGCGGAAAAGCUGGGCCAUGAGCUUUAGAUGAUUUUGUAUAAUUCUAGAUUGAGGUUUGGGCCUAAGAAUUUUAUGAAAUGGGUUUUAGAGCGGGAGAUUUGGGCUUGUUAAGCGUGUGGGUUAAUGUGAUGGAAA